GGUGCACGCUGAAGGAGCCGGCGGAACCGGGUGGCCAUGGGGAUGUGGGCAUCGCUGGACGCUUUGUGGGAGAUGCCGGCCGAGAAGCGUAUCUUCGGGGCCGUGCUGCUCUUUUCCUGGACAGUGUAUCUUUGGGAGACCUUCCUAGCACAGCGGCAGAGUCUAGCUCUGUCACCAGGCUGGAGUACAGUGGCGUUAUUUCGGCUCACUGCAAGAAACUAGGAGGGACGAGGGAGAGUCUGCAAGGGGAAGAGUGUGUCUGUGACACUGCCAGCAGCGCGCAGAGGGAGGGUUGUUCAAAUGAUUCUCCUGCCUCAGCAUCCCGAGUAGCUAGGAUUACAGAGAAGGAUAUAUAAAACAACAACUCAUGUACCACCGGAGUUAGGACAGAUCAUGGAUUCUGAAACAUUUGAGAAAUCUCGACUCUAUCAACUGGAUAAAAGCACUUUCAGCUUCUGGUCAGGACUCUAUUCAGAGAUUGAAGGCACUUUCCAGAGAAUUGUUGAACAACUUACAACACUACCUGAAGAAGUAAUACUCAAGAGUUCUUGUUCUAUACU
RNAcentral lists this small RNA (560 nucleotides) under Pan troglodytes (chimpanzee). RNAcentral's name for it is "processed transcript". Lineage: Eukaryota; Metazoa; Chordata; Mammalia; Primates; Hominidae. The record is from RNAcentral.